GUGCCUAGCAUCAACUGUCCAACUGUCUAAAAAACAGUUAUUAGCAAGAGCCGGGUAAGACCGGUGCCAGCCGCCGCGGUAACACCGGCGGCUCGAGUGGUGACCGCUAUUAUUGGGUCUAAAGGGUUCGUAGCCGGCUUAGUAAGUUCUUUGGGAAAUCUGGCGGCUUAACCGUCAGGCUCCCGAAGGAUACUGUUAGGCUUGAGACCGGGAGGGGCUAGAGGUACUUCAGGGGUAGGGGUGAAAUCCUGUGAUCCCUGUGAGACCACCAGUGGCGAAGGCGUCUAGCUAGAACGGGUCUGACGGUGAUGAACGAAAGCUAGGGGCACGAACCGGAUUAGAUACCCGGGUAGUCCUAGCCGUAAACGAUGCGAGCUAGGUGUCACGGUAGCUGCGAGCUACUGUGGUGCCGUAGGGUAGCCAUGAAGCUCGCCACCUGGAAGUACGCCGCAAGGC
RNAcentral lists this ribosomal RNA (456 nucleotides) under uncultured archaeon. Its description in RNAcentral is "bacterial SSU rRNA". It matches the Rfam family "Archaeal small subunit ribosomal RNA", at positions 391 to 849 of the family's 1478-position model. The record is from RNAcentral.